This 136-nucleotide ribosomal RNA is filed under the name uncultured eukaryote. RNAcentral's name for it is "partial 18S ribosomal RNA". It matches the Rfam family "Eukaryotic small subunit ribosomal RNA", at positions 1299 to 1458 of the family's 1831-position model. The record is from RNAcentral.
UGGUGGAGUGAUUUGUCUGGUUAAUUCCGAUAACGAACGAGACCUUAACCUGCUAAAUAGUUGACGUAUGGUUCCAUAUGAUCAACUUCUUAGAGGGACUAACUACAUUAGUGGUUGGAAGUUUGAGGCAAUAACA